UGCAGGAUGGCCGAGUGGUUAUGGUAUCGGACUCAAGAUCUGAUUCGCGUUUACGAUCGCGGGCUCGAAUCCGCUUCUGCAC
Molecule: non-coding RNA, 82 nt
Organism: Trichonephila clavipes
Lineage: Eukaryota; Metazoa; Arthropoda; Arachnida; Araneae; Nephilidae
Source: the annotation of a GenBank genome assembly